UAGUCCACGCCGUAAACGAUGGGCACUAGGUGUUGGGUUGGCUUUUGGUCGAUUCGGUGCCGUAGCUAACGUAUUAAGUGCCCCGCCUGGGGAGUACGCUCGCAAGGGUGAAACUCAAAGGAAUUGACGGGGGCCCGCACAAGCGGUGGAGCAUGUGGUUUAAUUCGAUGCAACGCGCAGAACCUUACCGGGGCUUAAACUGCUAAGUAAAGUCUAUGAAAGUAGGUCUGCUCUUCGGAGCAACUUAGUAGAGGUGCUGCAUGGCUGUCGUCAGCUCGUGUCGUGAGAUGUUGGGUUAAGUCCCGCAACGAGCGCAACCCUUGUCUUUAGUUGCCAUCAUUAAGUUGGGCACUUUAAAGAGACUGCCGGUGACAAACCGGAGGAAGGUAAGGAUGACGUCAAGUCAGCAUGCCCCUUAUGCUCUGGGCUACACACGUGCUACAAUGGCCGUGACAAAGAGUUGCUACUUUGUGAAAACAAGCUAAUCUCAUAAACGCGGCCUCAGUUCGGAUUGC
RNAcentral lists this ribosomal RNA (515 nucleotides) under uncultured bacterium. RNAcentral describes it as "bacterial SSU rRNA". It matches the Rfam family "Bacterial small subunit ribosomal RNA", at positions 791 to 1301 of the family's 1533-position model. The record is from RNAcentral.